Molecule: ribosomal RNA, 504 nt
Filed under: uncultured bacterium
Lineage: Bacteria
Description: partial 16S ribosomal RNA
Rfam family: Bacterial small subunit ribosomal RNA
Source: RNAcentral
AUUGAACGCUGGCGGCAGGCCUAACACAUGCAAGUCGAACGGUAGCACAGAGAGCUUGCUCUCGGGUGACGAGUGGCGGACGGGUGAGUAAUGUCUGGGAAACUGCCCGAUGGAGGGGGAUAACUACUGGAAACGGUAGCUAAUACCGCAUAACGUCGCAAGACCAAAGUGGGGGACCUUCGGGCCUCACACCAUCGGAUGUGCCCAGAUGGGAUUAGCUAGUAGGUGGGGUAAUGGCUCACCUAGGCGACGAUCCCUAGCUGGUCUGAGAGGAUGACCAGCCACACUGGAACUGAGACACGGUCCAGACUCCUACGGGAGGCAGCAGUAGGGAAUAUUGCACAAUGGGCGCAAGCCUGAUGCAGCCAUGCCGCGUGUAUGAAGAAGGCCUUCGGGUUGUAAAGUACUUUCAGCGGGGAGGAAGGCGGUGAAGUUAAUAGCUUCACCGAUUGACGUUACCCGCAGAAGAAGCACCGGCUAACUCCGUGCCAGCCGCCGCAGUAG